This 500-nucleotide ribosomal RNA is filed under the name uncultured bacterium. RNAcentral's name for it is "partial 16S ribosomal RNA". It matches the Rfam family "Bacterial small subunit ribosomal RNA", at positions 30 to 523 of the family's 1533-position model. The record is from RNAcentral.
AUUGAACGCCGGCGGAAUGCUUUACACAUGCAAGUCGAACGGCAGCACGGACUUCGGUCUGGUGGCGAGUGGCGAACGGGUGAGUAAUGUAUCGGAACGUGCACAGUCGUGGGGGAUAACGUAGUGAAAAUUACGCUAAUACCGCAUACGAUCUAUGGAUGAAAGCGGGGGAUCGCAAGACCCCGCGCGAUUGUAGCGGCCGAUAUCCGAUUAGGUAGUUGGUGGGGUAAAGGCCCACCAAGCCAACGAUCUGUAGCUGGUCUGAGAGGACGACCAGCCACACUGGAACUGAGACACGGUCCAGACUCCUACGGGAGGCAGCAGUGGGGAAUUUUGGACAAUGGACGCAAGUCUGAUCCAGCCAUUCCGCGUGCAGGAUGAAGGCCCUCGGGUUGUAAACUGCUUUUGUACGGAACGAAAAGGUCUCUCUUAAUACGGGGGACUCAUGACGGUACCGUAAGAAUAAGCACCGGCUAACUACGUGCCAGCAGCCGCCGUAA